RNAcentral lists this ribosomal RNA (468 nucleotides) under uncultured bacterium. RNAcentral's name for it is "partial 16S ribosomal RNA". It matches the Rfam family "Bacterial small subunit ribosomal RNA", at positions 28 to 507 of the family's 1533-position model. The record is from RNAcentral.
GACGAACGCUGGCGGCGUGCUUAACACAUGCAAGUCGAACGGAAAGGCCCUGCUUUUGUGGGGUGCUCGAGUGGCGAACGGGUGAGUAACACGUGAGUAACCUGCCCUUGACUUUGGGAUAACUUCAGGAAACUGUGGCUAAUACCGGAUAGGAGCUCCUGCUGCAUGGUGGGGGUUGGAAAGUUUCGGCGGUUGGGGAUGGACUCGCGGCUUAUCAGCUUGUUGGUGGGGUAGUGGCUUACCAAGGCUUUGACGGGUAGCCGGCCUGAGAGGGUGACCGGCAACAUUGGGACUGGGAUACGGCCAAGACUCCUACGGGAGGCAGCAGUGGGGAAUAUUGCACAAUGGGCGGAAGCCUGAGGCAGCAACGCCGCGUGCGGGAUGACGGCCUUCGGGUUGUAAACCGCUUUCGCCUGUGACGAAGCGUGAGUGACGGUAAUGGGUAAAGAAGCACCGGCUAACUACGUG